GUGCUCGCUUCAGCCGCACAUGUGCUAAAACUGGAACUACACAGAGAAGAUUAUCAUGGCCUUGGCACAAAGAUGGCACCCGAAGUCAUUAAAUGUUCCCGAUUUUA
Molecule: small nuclear RNA, 107 nt
Organism: Molossus molossus (Pallas's mastiff bat)
Lineage: Eukaryota; Metazoa; Chordata; Mammalia; Chiroptera; Molossidae
Source: RefSeq, a predicted model, not a curated record